CUGACUCGUUCCUUCGCCGUCGUUCCUGUGUCGGACGGUCGUCGGGGUGAUCCGCCUGGGCUCGUGGAACGUGUUACUGGUGGAUCGGCACUGGGACUGCCUCGGACGUCGUCUGAAUUCCUCGCCGGAGCUCAACCGAUCCCACCAUUCCGCCACUCGCCGUGGUCGGGUUCGUCUGCGACAAACUGCGAGGUCGAGCCAUAUAUAAAGAUGUAUAAGGAAGAGUUAGAGAAUGAAGGGAUUGUUAAUGUGGAAAAAAACCAUUCAGAAGCACUUUUCCUCAUGGGGCUACGCUACCCCACAACCCCACCCCACGCCCGUCUUCCUCGCCUCAACGCCACCACCCAAUCCAACCGCCUGGACCGCUGGACGCCACCGCCCUGCCCCUCCUCGGCGCCGCCGAUCCAUCCAACUGCCUCAACGUCGCCAUCCAUCCAACCUCCUCGGUGUCUCCUCCUCACUUACUGGAAGGAUGGAUGGGGCAAGGACACACAAAGACCUUGGUGGUAA
Molecule: unclassified non-coding RNA, 510 nt
Filed under: Zea mays
Lineage: Eukaryota; Viridiplantae; Streptophyta; Magnoliopsida; Poales; Poaceae
Description: misc RNA Zm00001eb199790
Source: RNAcentral